Molecule: non-coding RNA, 952 nt
Organism: Misgurnus anguillicaudatus (oriental weatherfish)
Lineage: Eukaryota; Metazoa; Chordata; Actinopteri; Cypriniformes; Cobitidae
Source: RefSeq, a predicted model, not a curated record
UUUUAAGUAUUUGGAUCAUUUAGACUUUAUUUAAAUACUCGUUUUUUAAAAUAUAUGUAAUCCGAUUUAUUAGAAUAUAUAUAAAUCUGUUCAAUUUAAAAAGUAUUAGAUUUAAUCAGUUAAAAUGUAUGAAUAUGAAUUAAAUAAAUCUAGCCGUGACACAAACCGGAUAAAUUCUAUCAGAUUGGUUUACAUACAAAUUUCAGGAAACUGACUUUAGUAGAAGCGGAAAUGACGUCUAUUCACACUCCAGUCAGGAGGUGGCGCCACAAUCAAAAAUAGACGCUACAGCACAUGGACUUCGCCAUUUUGCAUUGGACUGGAUCGUCAUCUCACUAGUCUACAAUCGCCAAAUUGUAGAGUAAAAUACACCUCACUACACAGACGGUCUGUUGGAAAUAUACAGCAUCAUUUCAUCGUCUAUAUGGUGGGACAACCUGCUAGACAGGUUGAAGACAUCUGUACCUACCUCACAGAAGGCACGGAGAGACACAUUAAAGAAUAUGUGAAUUGUGAAAUUGGUGAGUUGGGGAUUGCACAGACAGUGGAAGUUUUGCAAAACCUACUUGGUGUCACACAUGGGUGUGAAAUUACUUUUUGGACUCAUUUAUGCACUUAAACUGAACUACCAGAAGAACAUCAGGUGCACCUUUGACCUUUCAAAAAAUCCUAAUGGAACUGGACUUGAUACAACCAAGCAAUCACUGAAAGAUGCUUCAGUGAAUACCUGACAGACACGCUGAUGCAUCCCCCUCAAAGUGGGUACAUUUUUGUACAUUUACAAGUGAACUUUUUAACAUUAAAGUAAUAUUGCACUUUCAUUAAACAAAAAUCCUGAUAAUUUACUGUCUGUCAUCAAAAAUGCUUGUCUUUUUUUGUUCAGUCAAGAAGAAAUUGUUUUUUGAGAAAAACAUUCCAGGAUUUUUCUUAAUUUAAUAGACCUUAUUGGACA